GUAGCGGUGAAAUGCGUAGAUAUUGGGAAGAACAUCGGUGGCGAAGGCGUGCUACUGGACCGUAACUGACACUCAGGGACGAAAGCUAGGGGAGCGAAAGGGAUUAGAUACCCCUGUAGUCAUAGCUGUAAACGAUGGAAACUAGGUGUGGCUUGUAUCGACCCGAGCCGUGCCGUAGCUAACGCGUUAAGUUUCCCGCCUGGGGAGUACGCACGCAAGUGUGAAACUCAAAGGAAUUGACGGGGGCCCGCACAAGCGGUGGAGUAUGUGGUUUAAUUCGAUGCAACGCGAAGAACCUUACCAGGGCUUGACAUGUCGCGAAUCUCGGUGAAAGCUGAGAGUGCCUUCGGGAGCGCGAACACAGGUGGUGCAUGGCUGUCGUCAGCUCGUGUCGUGAGAUGUUGGGUUAAGUCCCGCAACGAGCGCAACCCUUAUUUUUAGUUGCCAGCAUUAAGAUGGGCACUCUAGAAAGACUGCCGGUGACAAACCGGAGGAAGGUGAGGACGACGUCAAGUCAGCAUGCCCCUUACGCCCUGGGCUACACACGUACUACAAUGGUUGGGACAAAGGGCAGCGACUCCGCAAGGAAUAGCGAAUCUCAUCAAACCCAGCCUCAGUUCAGAUUGCAGGCUGCAACUCGCCUGCAUGAAGGAGGAAUCGCUAGUAAUCGCAGGUCAGCAUACUGCGGUGAAUUCGUUCCCGGGCCUUGUACACACCGCCCGUCACACCAUGGAAGCUGGUCACGCCCGAAGUAGUUACCCUAACCUUUCGAGGAGGGGGAUUCCUAAGGCAGGGCUAGUGACUGGGGUGAAGUCGUAACAAGGUAGCC
This 829-nucleotide ribosomal RNA is filed under the name uncultured marine microorganism. RNAcentral describes it as "bacterial SSU rRNA". It matches the Rfam family "Bacterial small subunit ribosomal RNA", at positions 675 to 1501 of the family's 1533-position model. The record is from RNAcentral.